GGGGCCGUAGCUCAGUAGCAGAGUGCUUGUCUUAUAUGUUCAAGGCUCUGGGUUCAAUCCCCAGCACCACCA
RNAcentral lists this transfer RNA (72 nucleotides) under Cricetulus griseus (Chinese hamster). It matches the Rfam family "tRNA". Rfam says of the family: Transfer RNA (tRNA) molecules are approximately 80 nucleotides in length. Their secondary structure includes four short double-helical elements and three loops (D, anti-codon, and T loops). Further hydrogen bonds mediate the characteristic L-shaped molecular structure. tRNAs have two regions of fundamental functional importance: the anti-codon, which is responsible for specific mRNA codon recognition, and the 3' end, to which the tRNAs corresponding amino acid is attached (by aminoacyl-tRNA synthetases). tRNAs cope with the degeneracy of the genetic code in two manners: having more than one tRNA (with a specific anti-codon) for a particular amino acid; and 'wobble' base-pairing, i.e. permitting non-standard base-pairing at the 3rd anti-codon position. Lineage: Eukaryota; Metazoa; Chordata; Mammalia; Rodentia; Cricetidae. The record is from Rfam by way of RNAcentral.